Esox lucius (northern pike) is the source of this 1707-nucleotide long non-coding RNA. The record is from Ensembl. NCBI's taxonomy places the organism in Eukaryota, Metazoa, Chordata, Actinopteri, Esociformes, Esocidae.
GAGAACGACUUCACAAAAUUUGACGAGAGUUUCGACCCAAAGUCACACCACAUGGAGUUAGCAGAUGGAGCCAGGAUGAACAACGUGGCAUUAAAGCGGGGCGACGCAGAGGUGUUACUGCUGGAUGUGGAAGGGAAAUGCGUCAGGAUCACUCUAAAGAAGGCCUUGUUCAUACCAUCAUACCCACAGAGCAUCAUCUCCGUUCAAGCUGCUACAACAGAUGGGGCCAGGGUGAUCUUCCAGGAAGGACAGAAUGAACUGAUAAGCAAGGGUGGAGCUGUGUUCCGCAUAGAAGAGCAUGAGAGACUGUACUAUUUGAAAACGCCAUCAUCCAGUCUGUUCUCUCCACAUCCAUCACUGUUUGGUUGGGAUCUGCCAUGAAACUGGAAAGGAACAGACUACAAUGGACAGGCAGAACUGCAGAAAAGAUCAUUGGUGCCAACAUGUCCUCCAUCCAGGACUUAUACAAAACCAGAGUCAGUAAAAGGGCAGGAAACAUCACUACAGACCCAUCACAACCUGGAUACAACCUGUUCCAGCCCCUCCCCUCUGGUAGGCACUACAGAGCAAUGUACGCCAAAACAAACAGACACAGGAACAGUUUCUACCCACAGUCCAUCACUCUGAUGAAAAGUCAACUUCAGACACUUAGUGUCAGGCACAAUCCCUGUAUAACAACCCAGUAACUCUGACCCUAACAUCCACCUGCCUACUACUUAUUUAUUUGUCAUCUUGUAAUUCAGUGUUGUUCAUACUGUAUAUAUCAUCAUGGAUGUAGCACAAAAUUCUGGGCCCUGUACAUAGGCGGUCUCUGAGGGCCCCUCCCCACUUUAUUCAAGAUUCAAACAUUUUUGAGGGCCCCUCUACACAUUAGGGCCCUAUAUACUUAGUACCCCUUUUCCCCCCAGUCCAACGCCCCUGUAUAUCAUAUCCACCUACCUCAUGUACAUUACACCUGCGUACAUUACUUAUCAGUCAGGGAAAGGAUUUGUGUGGCACUUUCAAUCGAUCAACAACACAAAAUAUCCCUGGCUUAUAGCGUUGAAGGAACAUUGUUAUUGUGUGUACAUUCUUAUUUCUUUGGUACAUGUAAUGUCGUUGAUUUGGGCUUUGCGAUGUCUAUUUGUGUUGCAGCGUCUUGUCAUACUGCAUAAUGGUUCUGUAAAUCCUUGAUGGUUUCAUUCGCAAUAUAUACAUGUUUCCGUAAUUACUGGUGUUGUAAACCUCUUUUUAAAUUGCUUUAUUCCACAGUCACUGUGAAUAUGGGAUGGUUACUUCGAAUGACAAUAGCCUAAUAGCCCAUAGGAUUAGGCCGCCAUACAUGCUAGGAAUAUUAGCUUUGUGUCCAUCGUGCUGAAGUUACUAAUCGUUAUUGGUAAGAAUAAAGUGCCUCACUUUGAAAAUCAAAUGCCCGUCCAACACGUUUGUUUUGGUUACUAACCUGUAUCGACCUGACUGGUAAUAUUGAAGACACCUGGUGCCACACUCUAAUCAGCUAAUUAACUCAAAACACCUGCAAAGGCCUUUAUAUGGUCUCUCAGUCAAUUUCUGUAGGCUACACAAUCAUGGGGAAGACUGCUGACUUGACAGCUGUCCAAAAGACGACCAUUGACACCUUGCACAAGUAAGGCAAGACGCAAAAGGUCAUUGCUAAAGAUGCUGGCUGUUCACAGAGCUCUGUGUCCAAGCACAUUAAUAGAGAGGCGA